AGAGUUUGAUCAUGGCUCAGGACGAACGCUGGCGGCGCGCUUAACACAUGCAAGUCGAGCGAGAACCUAGGCUUCGGCCUAGGGGACAGCGGCGAACGGGUGAGUAACACGUGGGUAAUCUGCCCUCGACAUCGGGAUAGCCCGGGGAAACCCGGAUUAAUACCGAAUAGCCCAUCCGCUUUUCGGAGCGGUUGGAAAAGGUAGCUUUGGCCUCCGGUCGAGGAGGAGCCCGCGGCGGAUUAGCUUGUUGGUGAGGUAACGGCCCACCAAGGCGACGAUCCGUAGCUGGUCUGAGAGGACGAUCAGCCACACUGGGACUGAGACACGGCCCAGACUCCUACGGGAGGCAGCAGUGGGGAAUCUUGCGCAAUGGGCGAAAGCCUGACGCAGCGACGCCGCGUGCGGGAAGAAGGCCUUCGGGUUGUAAACCGCUUUCAGGAGGGACGAAGCCACUCAGGUUAAUAGCCGAGAGGGUGACGGUACCUCCAGAAGAAGCCCCGGCUAACUACGUGCCAGCAGCCGCGGUA
Molecule: ribosomal RNA, 527 nt
Filed under: uncultured Actinomycetes bacterium
Lineage: Bacteria; Bacillati; Actinomycetota; Actinomycetes
Description: bacterial SSU rRNA
Rfam family: Bacterial small subunit ribosomal RNA
Source: RNAcentral